This 473-nucleotide ribosomal RNA is filed under the name uncultured bacterium B6. RNAcentral describes it as "bacterial SSU rRNA". It matches the Rfam family "Bacterial small subunit ribosomal RNA", at positions 50 to 515 of the family's 1533-position model. Lineage: Bacteria; Pseudomonadati; Bacteroidota. The record is from RNAcentral.
AAUACAUGCAAGUCGAGGGGCAGCAUAAAAUUAGCUUGCUAAUUUGGUGGCGACCGGCGCACGGGUGAGUAACGCGUAUGCAACCUACCCUAUUCUGGGGGAUAGCCCGAAGAAAUUCGGAUUAAUACCCCAUGGCACUGAUUCGUGGCAUCACAAGUUAGUUAAAGGUUACGGAAUAGGAUGGGCAUGCGUCCCAUUAGCUAGAUGGUAUGGUAACGGCUUACCAUGGCGACGAUGGGUAGGGGGUCUGAGAGGAUGGUCCCCCACACUGGUACUGAGACACGGACCAGACUCCUACGGGAGGCAGCGGUGAGGAAUAUUGGUCAAUGGACGAGAGUCUGAACCAGCCAUGCCGCGUGCAGGAUGACUGCCCUAUGGGUUGUAAACUGCUUUUAUUGGGGAAUAAACCUUUCUACGUGUAGGAAGCUGAAGGUACUCAAUGAAUAAGCACCGGCUAACUCCGUGCCAGCAGC